Molecule: ribosomal RNA, 429 nt
Filed under: Verrucomicrobiota bacterium
Lineage: Bacteria; Pseudomonadati; Verrucomicrobiota
Description: Verrucomicrobia bacterium partial 16S ribosomal RNA
Rfam family: Bacterial small subunit ribosomal RNA
Source: RNAcentral
UAGGGAAUCUUCCGCAAUGGACGAAAGUCUGACGGAGCAACGCCGCGUGAGUGAAGAAGGAUUUCGGUUCGUAAAACUCUGUUGUUAGGGAAGAAAAAAUGUAUAGUAACUAUAUACAAAAGAGACGGUACCUAACCAGAAAGCCACGGCUAACUACGUGCCAGCAGCCGCGGUAAUACGUAGGUGGCAAGCGUUGUCCGGAAUUAUUGGGCGUAAAGCGCGCGCAGGUGGUUUAGAAAGUCUGAUGUGAAAGCCCACGGCUCAACCGUGGAGGGUCAUUGGAAACUAAUAAACUUGAGUGCAGGAGAGAAAAGUGGAAUUCCUAGUGUAGCGGUGAAAUGCGUAGAGAUUAGGAUGAACACCGGUGGCGAAAGCGGCUUUUUGGCCUGCAACUGACACUGAGGCGCGAAAGCGUGGGGAGCAAACAGG